This 69-nucleotide transfer RNA is filed under the name Osteocephalus aff. leoniae DO-2022. RNAcentral's name for it is "tRNA-Arg". It matches the Rfam family "tRNA". From Rfam's summary of the family: Transfer RNA (tRNA) molecules are approximately 80 nucleotides in length. Their secondary structure includes four short double-helical elements and three loops (D, anti-codon, and T loops). Lineage: Eukaryota; Metazoa; Chordata; Amphibia; Anura; Hylidae. The record is from RNAcentral.
GAGUGGAUAGUCUAAGAAAGACAGCUGAUUUCGACUCAACUAAUUAUGGUUUAAGCCCAUGUCCCCUCU